GACGAACGCUGGCGGCGUGCCUAAUACAUGCAAGUAGAACGCUGAAGGAGGAGCUUGCUUCUCUGGAUGAGUUGCGAACGGGUGAGUAACGCGUAGGUAACCUGCCUGGUAGCGGGGGAUAACUAUUGGAAACGAUAGCUAAUACCGCAUAAUAGUAGAUGUUGCAUGACAUUUGCUUAAAAGGUGCAAUUGCAUCACUACCAGAUGGACCUGCGUUGUAUUAGCUAGUUGGUGGGGUAACGGCUCACCAAGGCGACGAUACAUAGCCGACCUGAGAGGGUGAUCGGCCACACUGGGACUGAGACACGGCCCAGACUCCUACGGGAGGCAGCAGUAGGGAAUCUUCGGCAAUGGACGGAAGUCUGACCGAGCAACGCCGCGUGAGUGAAGAAGGGUUUCGGAUCGUAAAGAUCUGUUGUAAGAGAAGAACGAGUGUGAGAGUGGAAAGUUCACACUGUGACGGUAUCUUACCAGAAAGGGACGGCUAACUACGUG
RNAcentral lists this ribosomal RNA (495 nucleotides) under uncultured bacterium. RNAcentral's name for it is "partial 16S ribosomal RNA". It matches the Rfam family "Bacterial small subunit ribosomal RNA", at positions 28 to 507 of the family's 1533-position model. The record is from RNAcentral.